Molecule: long non-coding RNA, 5010 nt
Organism: Homo sapiens (human)
Lineage: Eukaryota; Metazoa; Chordata; Mammalia; Primates; Hominidae
Exons: 2
Source: RefSeq, a predicted model, not a curated record
AGAAUCCUUAGUCCCCGCCCCCGCCCCACCGCCUGCCUCCUCCGUCGCCGCCGUCACCGCCGCAGCCGCCAGCAACUCCACUUCUAGACCGCGCGAGACCGGCCCCUGCGGCCGCCGCGAGACCGCGCACGCGCCCCCGGGACUCUGGCGCAGUGGGCGCGCGGAUCCGAGUCCCACCCCGCCCGUGAGAGGCUGGCGCGGCUUGCCCAAUCCCGAGCCGGAGCGGAGAGAGCGCCCGCUCAUUGGUCCUCUCCGCAGCUCCAGCCGGGUGCGCGCAGUCGCGCGCCUCUAAGUCUAAAACGCGGACUGCUCCGGGCUAGCUGGCCCGGUAGAGCCCCUUCGGGAUUUGGCCGGCGGGCUUUGUGGGGACGCGAGGCUUCCCUGGGUUUCUACAUCCCUUGGCUCUUGUCUCUGGAUGACGUAUCCUGAAGAAAAUCUGAUUCCUCUUGAAGAGAUUCCUCAUGUCCUGUCAAGUUAGUCACCCAAUCUAACAUUUGUUUUUUUUAAAAAAUGACAUAAACACCUGGAUGUGUGCAGUGUCCCGCAGAAGACUGCAUAAAGCCAGCAGCUGCACUGAUUUCUGAAAACCAGAAAGCAAGGAUAGCAAGGACUAGAACUAUUUCCCAGAAGUCUCCCGAAGGGACAGAGUUACGCAGAUCAGCCCGUGCUCCGGGCAUGGCUGGCGCCCUCGGGACCUGGAUGUGCCACCCUUGGAAUGGGGCAGGACUCAGGCGGGUGCGGGCGGAAGUCAGAGCAGAUUGGAGGACGUUCUAAGGAGAAACACCAGCAAUGUGUCUCGACACUUGCAAUAAAAGCCCUCGGAUGGUCUCUGUCUUGACAGUACCUUCCGAGCAAGCCCAUUCCACAUUUGAACACUUGCAAGGUUUGUUAAUCGACCUCUCCUUCUAUGAGGCCAAACUAUGCCUGUGACUCCAGCCCGGGGGCACAGUUUCCCCCAGGGGCACAGUCCUCCCUCAAAGCCUUCGUAUAUGCCAUUUCCAUUUCUCUCGGUUUUCCUCAUUUUGUCCCACGGUGUUUUUCCAUCUCGCAAUGUCCUCAGGUCCUGAUUUUCAAGCUCUUUCACAUUCUUCCCCAUUACGCUCCUCUGGACAGCCUAUGGGUUGUGGUGUCCCUCACUAAGGACACUGUGAUGGCCUGAACGAAGCAAACCGUUGUUCCUGGUGGUGAAGAUCUUUGGGGAUGCCUACCCUUCCCAGAUUUGUUAUCCUUCUCAAAUCUGAUCAGCAUUCUGUCCAAGUGUUUAAUAAGACAGAGCGGAGGACAGAACUCUGCUGCAUGCCACUAAAGACCUUAAUGCUCCUGCCAUCAAAAAUUUCUCAGUAGGCUUCGAAUACAGGUGGACGACACAACCGAACUGUCUUCUUGGCCCAUAUUCCUCCAUAAAGAUGCCAUGAGAACUGGUGAAAUGCCUAACUGAAAUCCAGAUAAAGUCUCCAGGAUUCCUAGAAACUACUAGCCAUACCCCAAAAGAAAAAACGGUUACUGUGUGUGACUUACUUCCUUUUCUAAGUUCUUUUGUUUUUGUUUUUGUUUGAGACGGAGUUUCGCUCUUUUGCCCAGGCUGGAGUAAAGUGGCGCAAUCUCGGCUCACUGCAACCUCCGCUCCCCGGGUUCAAGCGAUACUCCUCCCUCAGCCUCCCCAGUAUCUGGGAUUACAGGUGCCAGCCACCACGCCCGGCUAAUUUUUGUAUUGUUAGUAGAGACGGGGUUUCGCCACAUUGGCCAAGCUGGUCUUGAACACCUGACCUCAGGUGAUCCACCUUUCUCAGCCUUCCAAAGUGCUAGGAUUACAGGCGUGAGCAACCGUGCCCCGCCUCUAAGUUCUUAAAUAUAUAACAUAAAUAAUAAUUCAAGAAGCUUCCUCCAGCUCGUCAAUGAAUUCUUCUUUCUCUAGCUUAUAAUUUCUCAUCCUUGGCACUAUUGACAUUUGGGCUGGAUAAUUCUUGUGGGGACUGUCCUGUGCAUCAUAGGAUGUUUAGAAGCAUCCCCAGCCUCUACCCACUACGUGCCAGUAGCAUCACCCUCCCCAAUGUGACAAUCAAAAAUGUCUCCAGACAUCACCAAAGGUCAUGGGGAGGAAUGAGCAAAAUCAUCUUCAGUAGUCCACCCACCCCUCAUCUUCAGGGGAUAUCUUCCAAGAUCCCUCGUGAUGCCUGAAACCUUGGAUGGUACGGAACCCUGUAUACACUGUGUUUUUCAAUCUGAUCAUCGAGAAGGCUACUGACUAAGGGGCAGGUAACAUAUACAGCCUGGAUAGCUGCAAGGGGAUGAUUCCUGUUCCAGGUGGGAUGGUGUGAGAUUUCAUCAUGCUACUUAGAAUCGCAUGCAAUUUAAAACCUAUGAAUUAUUUAUUUCUGGAACUAUUUAAUAUUUUUUGACCACAGGUAACUGAAACUGUGGAAAGCACAACUGUGGAUAAGGGAGGACUUUUGUAUUCCAUAGUUAAGUUUCUUUUUGUUGCUAAGUAGUAUCACUGUAUGACCAUACGACAAUUUGUUUAGUCAUUCACCUGUUGAUGGGCAUUUUGGUGUUUCUAGUUUUUUGCUAUUAUGAACAAAACUAUGACUCUUUGUGUACGAGUCUUAUUUUGAAUAUAUGUCUUGUGAACAUGUUUUUAGUUUUUUUGAAAUUUGAUCAUAUAUCUUUUUUUUUCUUGAGAGAGGGUCUUGCUCUGUCACCCAGGCUGCAGUACAGUGGCAUGAUCAUGGGUCACUGCAGCCUCGACCUCCUGAGCUCAAGCAAUCUUCCAUCCUCAGUCUCCUGAAUAGCUGGGACUAUAGAUAUGGGCCAUCAUACCCAGCUUAUUUUUUGUGGAGACAGGGUAUCACUUUGUUACCCAGGCUGAUCUCAAACUACUGGGCCCAAGCAAUCCUCCUGCCUCAGCCGCCCAAAGUGCUGGGAUUAUAGGCAUGAGAGACCACAUCCAGCUGAUCAUAUGUCUUAACUUAAUUUUCCAAACUCUUUUCCAGGGUGGUUGUACACCAACUACAGUGUAUGCUGCCUUUUGAAGGAUUGUGUUGCUAGAUACAAAUAGAAAGUUAUAACUCAUAGUUAUAGCUUUCUACCUGUAAGAAUCAAUUUAUUAAUCUUUUUCCCCCCAAGUGAACAAAAGUAAAAGUUACAGAUAAUCUGUAUGAAGAAAACAGUUUCUAUGAUGCUAUAGCCAUCUCCAAAUUAGAAACUGUUGGUUUACGUAUAUACCUAACUUAAAAACGUUAGUCUCCUCUUGGUUUCAUGGAAUCUCUGUUUUCACUCCUGAUUGUGAAGGUUGGAAACAAACUUCUUCUGUCUUUGGAACAGCAGGGAGAGGAGGAGGAGGAAUUCCCUAGGCUGUGGGCCAAGAGACUAGGUAGAUGGUUUUUCUCUAGAGCAGUGCUGUCUGAUGGAAAUCUAUCAUGAGCCACAUUUUUUUGUGUGUAAUUUGUGACACAUUGCUUAACAGGCACAUCAAAAGAGUAAAAAGAAAGAUUAAAUUAAUCCUUAAAUAUUUUUAUUUAACCAAUAUAUUCAAAUAUUAUCAUUUAAACAUAUAAUCAAUAUAAUACACAUUAAAUAUUUUACAUUCUUUUUUUCUCAAAGACUUCCAAAUCUGGCGUAUAUUUUACACUUAUGGUAUAUCUCAAUUUGGACACUAGAUUUUCAACAGUUGAAGUGAAAAAUGUAGCCCUACCAAAACAAUAAAGUUGUGUUUAAUGGAAAAAUAUUCUACACUGUUCUAGUUUUAAAAUUAGAAUUUACAUUUAUUAAAAAUAAUCUAAAAUUCAGCUUCUCAGUCACACUAGCUACAUUGCAGGUGCUCAAUAGCCAUAUAUGCCUACUGGCCAUCAUAUGGGACUGCACAGUUCUAGAGGGUUGCUUGUGGGCCAGGAAGGGAAAGAUGGAGAUAAGAGAUAUUCUCAGUUCACAGUAGAAAAACCAGUACUAUUUGUGUGAAAUUUGAGUUAAAUAGAUUUCCAUUGCUUUAAAAAAACCUAACUACCCUUAUUCUGAAUUUAAAAGCAUGAGUUCUAAUGUGAAUCGCAAAUUUGCGUUUAGCUUGGCUGUUGGGCUUCUUGGGUUCAAAGAUCAUCUCCACCAUUUUCUAGCUGUGUGACUUGGACAAGUAACUUUAACCUCUAAGCUUCACUUUCACCACCUGUAAAACAGGGGAAAAUAGUAGUGUCCCUCAUAUUACUGUGAAGAUUAAGUGAGAUAAUGGAUAAAAAACAUGCUGUAGCAUGACUGGCAGCAUUUAGAAAAUAAGUGAUGGCUUUUAAAAAGUCAAACCAUUCUCUGGAUGGGGACUGUCUGUAGUUUCUUUUUUAUUUUUAAAAGUACAUGGAUUUUUUUUAACCUGUUUGAAAAUGACACACUGAUUCAAUAAAUACUGUCUCUCAGCACCAGGUACUCAGCUAGAACAAAAGAUGAAAUGAACACAGUCCCUACCUUGAAUGACCUCACAUUCUCCAAUGUUAGAAACAAAACAGUGUUGGACUAAUAUACAAAUGAGAAAAGUGAAACCAAGAGAAUAACAAAUUUUUCCAUCAAUCCCAAAGAAAAGAAACCCCAUCCAUAAAAACUGAGUUUAUGAAUUGAAAAUCUUACCGUUUUGCAUAAUCCUCUAGCUUCCUUUAAAAUAGAUACCCACAAUUAAAAUAGUUAAGAUUUAUGAAAUUAGGUUGACAUGGAUUUGAAUUCGUAAUGAUUAGUCAUAGGCUUUAUUUCUGCCACGUAGAAGACACUGCUUGGUUUUCCUCUUGCACUGAUUGUCUUUCCCUGAGCUGUGUUUGCUUUUUAGUUUAGUAGUUUGUAUCUGAUUUUAAAAAAAGGUGGAGAAGUCAGUUCAUUUAAUUCAAAUGUCUGAAAUAGAGAAUAUUUUUAGUGUUAUUACUGUUAACUAUAAGACAAGAUGAACUAAAUACAGGUAAAAUAAAUGAUUGAAACAAACAAAAUUAUAUUUAUACUACAACUUUUCUUCUUGAUAUAAAAAAUAAAGAUCCUUUGGAUGAA